CUGUUUCGGCUAGGGGGUCAUCCCGACUUACCAACCCGAUGCAAACUGCGAAUACCGAAGAAUGUUAUCACGGGAGACACACGGCGGGUGCUAACGUCCGUCGUGAAGAGGGAAACAACCCAGACCGCCAGCUAAGGUCCCAAAGUCAUGGUUAAGUGGGAAACGAUGUGGGAAGGCACAGACAGCCAGGAUGUUGGCUUAGAAGCAGCCAUCAUUUAAAGAAAGCGUAAUAGCUCACUGGUCGAGUCGGCCUGCGCGGAAGAUGUAACGGGGCUAAACCAUGCACCGAAGCUGCGGCAGCGACACUAUGUGUUGUUGGGUAGGGGAGCGUUCUGUAAGCCGUUGAAGGUGGCCUGUGAGGGUUGCUGGAGGUAUCAGAAGUGCGAAUGCUGACAUAAGUAACGAUAAUGCGGGUGAAAAACCCGCACGCCGGAAGACCAAGGGUUCCUGUCCAACGUUAAUCGGGGCAGGGUGAGUCGACCCCUAAGGCGAGGCCGAAAGGCGUAGUCGAUGGGAAACAGGUUAAUAUUCCUGUACUUGGUGUUACUGCGAAGGGGGGACGGAGAAGGCUAUGUUAGCCGGGCGACGGUUGUCCCGGUUUAAGCAUGUAGGCGGAGGUUCCAGGUAAAUCCGGUACCUUUUUAACGCUGAGGUGUGAUGACGAGGCACUACGGUGCUGAAGUAACAAAUGCCCUGCUUCCAGGAAAAGCCUCUAAGCAUCAGGUAACACGAAAUCGUACCCCAAACCGACACAGGUGGUCAGGUAGAGAAUACCAAGGCGCUUGAGAGAACUCGGGUGAAGGAACUAGGCAAAAUGGUGCCGUAACUUCGGGAGAAGGCACGCUGAUAUGUAGGUGAAGCGGUUUACCCGUGGAGCUGAAAUCAGUCGAAGAUACCAGCUGGCUGCAACUGUUUAUUAAAAACACAGCACUGUGCAAACACGAAAGUGGACGUAUACGGUGUGACGCCUGCCCGGUGCCGGAAGGUUAAUUGAUGGGGUUAUCCGUAAGGAGAAGCUCUUGAUCGAAGCCCCGGUAAACGGCGGCCGUAACUAUAACGGUCCUAAGGUAGCGAAAUUCCUUGUCGGGUAAGUUCCGACCUGCACGAAUGGCGUAAUGAUGGCCAGGCUGUCUCCACCCGAGACUCAGUGAAAUUGAACUCGCUGUGAAGAUGCAGUGUACCCGCGGCAAGACGGAAAGACCCCGUGAACCUUUACUAUAGCUUGACACUGAACACUGGUCCUUGAUGUGUAGGAUAGGUGGGAGGCUUUGAAGUGUGGACGCCAGUCUGCAUGGAGCCAUCCUUGAAAUACCACCCUUUAAUGGCUGGUGUUCUAACGUGGACCCGUUACCCGGGUUGCGGACAGUGUCUGGUGGGUAGUUUGACUGGGGCGGUCUCCUCCUAAAGAGUAACGGAGGAGCACGAAGGUUAGCUAAUCCUGGUCGGACAUCAGGAGGUUAGUGCAAAGGCAUAAGCUAGCUUGACUGCGAGAGUGACGGCUCGAGCAGGUGCGAAAGCAGGUCUUAGUGAUCCGGUGGUUCUGAAUGGAAGGGCCAUCGCUCAACGGAUAAAAGGUACUCCGGGGAUAACAGGCUGAUACCGCCCAAGAGUUCAUAUCGACGGCGGUGUUUGGCACCUCGAUGUCGGCUCAUCACAUCCUGGGGCUGAAGUAGGUCCCAAGGGUAUGGCUGUUCGCCAUUUAAAGUGGUACGCGAGCUGGGUUUAGAACGUCGUGAGACAGUUCGGUCCCUAUCUGCCGUGGGCGCUGGAGAAUUGAGGGGGGCUGCUCCUAGUACGAGAGGACCGGAGUGGACGCAUCACUGGUGUUCGGGUUGUCAUGCCAAUGGCAUUGCCCGGUAGCUAAAUGCGGAAGAGAUAAGUGCUGAAAGCAUCUAAGCACGAAACUUGCCCCGAGAUGAGUUCUCCCUGAGACUAUAAGUCUCCUGAAGGAACGUUAAAGACGAUGACG
RNAcentral lists this ribosomal RNA (1969 nucleotides) under Citrobacter freundii. RNAcentral describes it as "partial 23S ribosomal RNA". It matches the Rfam family "Bacterial large subunit ribosomal RNA", at positions 910 to 2852 of the family's 2925-position model. Lineage: Bacteria; Pseudomonadati; Pseudomonadota; Gammaproteobacteria; Enterobacterales; Enterobacteriaceae. The record is from RNAcentral.